RNAcentral lists this non-coding RNA (27 nucleotides) under Rattus norvegicus (Norway rat). Lineage: Eukaryota; Metazoa; Chordata; Mammalia; Rodentia; Muridae. The record is from RNAcentral.
UAGGGGCCAGUUCUCUCCAGUUCUCUC